RNAcentral lists this ribosomal RNA (364 nucleotides) under uncultured Acholeplasma sp. RNAcentral's name for it is "bacterial SSU rRNA". It matches the Rfam family "Bacterial small subunit ribosomal RNA", at positions 1013 to 1382 of the family's 1533-position model. The record is from RNAcentral. Lineage: Bacteria; Bacillati; Mycoplasmatota; Mollicutes; Acholeplasmatales; Acholeplasmataceae.
CGGAGGUAGUUCGGGGAGGACAGGUGGUGCAUGGUUGUCGUCAGCUCGUGUCGUGAGAUGUUGGUUAAGUCCCGCAACGAGCGCAACCCUAUUGCUAGUUACCAUCAUUAAGUUGGGGACUCUAGCGAGACUGCCAGUGAUAAACUGGAGGAAGGUGGGGAUGACGUCAAAUCAUCAUGCCCCUUAUGACCUGGGCUACAAACGUGAUACAAUGGCUGGAACAAAGGGAUGCGAAGCAGUGAUGUGGAGCGAAACCCAUAAAAACAGUCUCAGUUCGGAUUGAAGUCUGCAACUCGACUUCAUGAAGUCGGAAUCGCUAGUAAUCGCGGAUCAGAACGCCGCGGUGAAUACGUUCUCGGGGUUU